GCCUACGGGGGGCAGCAGUAGGGAAUAUUGCUCAAUGGGGGAAACCCUGAAGCAGCAACGCCGCGUGGAGGAUGAAGGUUUUCGGAUUGUAAACUCCUUUUGUUAGAGAAGAUAAUGACGGUAUCUAACGAAUAAGCACCGGCUAACUCCGUGCCAGCAGCCGCGGUAAUACGGAGGGUGCAAGCGUUACUCGGAAUCACUGGGCGUAAAGAGCGCGUAGGCGGGAUAGCAAGUCAGAUGUGAAAUCCUAUGGCUUAACCAUAGAACUGCAUUUGAAACUGUUUUUCUCGAGUAUGGGAGUGGUG
This 305-nucleotide ribosomal RNA is filed under the name uncultured bacterium. RNAcentral's name for it is "bacterial SSU rRNA". It matches the Rfam family "Bacterial small subunit ribosomal RNA", at positions 337 to 659 of the family's 1533-position model. The record is from RNAcentral.